Molecule: unclassified non-coding RNA, 444 nt
Filed under: Hevea brasiliensis (rubber tree)
Lineage: Eukaryota; Viridiplantae; Streptophyta; Magnoliopsida; Malpighiales; Euphorbiaceae
Source: RNAcentral
AUUUGAUUUCUGAUCCAUGGUCCAGAAUAGUACAAUUUAACAUAAACAUGUUUACUAAAUUUCGGGUGACUAAACAUGAGGAUGCACCAGAGAGUGAGCGGAGGCAGUGGAAUUGGAGGUCAGAAGGAGACUUGUUGCUAAAUGGUGCAUUCUUUACCCCAUCCGGAGCUGGAGCUUCUUCUAAUCAUGCCAGAGCAUCUAGCUUAGGCGCAAUACCAUCUUCCCUAGUGAGUUCAAUCACAGCAGGAUCAGGUGCACUUUUUUGCAAGAAGGGUAAACGUUGUUGAUUAGUGAGUUUGCUUAGAAGCCCAAGAUUGCUCACCAGGAGUGAUCAAGCAUCAAGCAAAAGGCAAAAUAUUAAAAUAGUUGGUUUAAAAAAGAUUAUACAGACAAUUGUGAGUACGUGGGAAUUAGGGUCAUCUUCUUGUAUGAUACUUUCUAAUU